ACUGUCAAAACCUUUUUUUAGCUUUCGUUUUCGCAUAUUUUACUCGAAAAUGCAGCUGUUUUCUGUUAUAUGUUUCAUUGUAUUGGCAUCUACAGCACUUGGUAAUAUGUGCCCUGACGAUAGACCUUGCGAUGGUGAAUGUUGCAAACGAUUUAUAUUUGGACAGAUGUAUUGGUGCUGCAAGCCACCUUAUGUUUGUAGACGAGAGAUAAUUGGUUCAUCCUGUUUUCUAAACACCAUCUCGUCAAAUGAUGCCCCUGCAGAUGCUUUAGCUCCUAGCAUUUUUUCGGGAAGCAAUGACUUCGAUCAACGUUCAAAUUCGCCAUCUGUGAAUGUAUUGGAGGUUUUGAUGACAGAAAAUGAAAUGCGUAAAAUGGGACGCAACAGGAUGUAAUUUCAAAAGCUGAAAUUCCUGUCUCUUGAGACAAUUAUUAAAAAUACUAAGAGAACUGAUAACAGUAUGACACAAGAACCUAUC
Uloborus diversus is the source of this 478-nucleotide long non-coding RNA. RefSeq lists it as uncharacterized. The record is from RefSeq and is a predicted model, not a curated record. Lineage: Eukaryota; Metazoa; Arthropoda; Arachnida; Araneae; Uloboridae. The transcript has 5 exons.